AGCAAUACUUCUGGCGGCGACCGGCGGAAGGGUGCGUAACGCGUGAGCAACAUGCCCGUAUCUGGGGGAUAAGCAUUGGAAACGGUGUCUAAUAUCCCAUAACAUCAGCAGUCACAUGGAUGUUGAUUGAAAGCUACGGCGGAUACGGAUUGGCUCGCGUGACAUUAGCUAGUCGGCGGGGUAACGGCCCACCGAGGCGACGAUGUCUAGGGGUUCUGAGAGGAAGGUCCCCCACACUGGAACUGAGACACGGUCCAGACUCCUACGGGAGGCAGCAGUGAGGAAUAUUGGUCAAUGGGCGGAAGCCUGAACCAGCCAUGCCGCGUGAAGGAAUGAGGCCCUAUGGGUCGUAAACUUCUUUUGUGGCGGAGCAAUAAGUGCUACGUGUAGCGCGAUGAGAGUACGUCACGAAUAAGCAUCGGCUAACUCCGUGCCAGCAGCCGCGGUAAUACGGAGGAUGCAAGCGUUAUCCGGAUUUAUUGGGUUUAAAGGGUGCGUAGGCUGUGCCGCAAGUCGGGGGUGAAAGCCCGGGGCCCAACCCCGGGAUGUGCCCUUGAUACUGCGGCGCUGGAGUUCGGAUGCCGUGGGAGGAAUGAGUAGUGUAGCGGUGAAAUGCAUAGAUAUUACUCAGAACACCGAUUGCGAAGGCAUCUCACGAAUCCGACACUGACGCUGAGGCACGAAAGCGUGGGGAUCAAACAGGAUUAGAUACCCUGGUAGUCCACGCAGUAAACGAUGAUGACUAACUGUCGGCGAUAAACAGUCGGUGGCCAAGCGAAAGCGAUAAGUCAUCCACCUGGGGAGUACGUUCGCAAGAAUGAAACUCAAAGGAAUUGACGGGGGCCCGCACAAGCGGAGGAACAUGUGGUUUAAUUCGAUGAUACGCGAGGAACCUUACCCGGACUCGAACGGCUGGUGAACGACCCAGAGAUGGGAAGGCCCUUCGGGGCGCCAGUCGAGGUGCUGCAUGGUUGUCGUCAGCUCGUGCCGUGAGGUGUCGGCUUAAGUGCCAUAACGAGCGCAACCCUUGCCGCCAGUUACCAGCAAGUGAAGUUGGGGACUCUGGCGGGACUGCCACCGCAAGGUGUGAGGAAGGCGGGGAUGACGUCAAAUCAGCACGGCCCUUACGUCCGGGGCGACACACGUGUUACAAUGGCGGCCACAGAGGGAAGCCACCCAGCGAUGGGGAGCGAAUCCCGAAAAGCCGCCUCAGUUCGGACUGGAGUCUGCAACCCGACUCCACGAAGCUGGAUUCGCUAGUAAUCGCGCAUCAGCCAUGGCGCGGUGAAUACGUUCCCGGGCCUUGUACACACCGCCCGUCAAGCCAUGAAAGCCGGGGGUG
Molecule: ribosomal RNA, 1342 nt
Filed under: uncultured bacterium
Lineage: Bacteria
Description: bacterial SSU rRNA
Rfam family: Bacterial small subunit ribosomal RNA
Source: RNAcentral